CUAUUGAAACACUGGUUUCUGUACAAUUACUGAAGUUAAGCAACAUUGAGCCUGCUCAGUAUCUAGGUGGGUUACCACUUGGGAAUAACAGGUGCUGCAAGC
This is a non-coding RNA of Acanthosepion pharaonis, 102 nucleotides long. The record is from the annotation of a GenBank genome assembly. Lineage: Eukaryota; Metazoa; Mollusca; Cephalopoda; Sepiida; Sepiidae.